Molecule: ribosomal RNA, 439 nt
Filed under: uncultured bacterium
Lineage: Bacteria
Description: partial 16S ribosomal RNA
Rfam family: Bacterial small subunit ribosomal RNA
Source: RNAcentral
CUACGGGCUGCUCCAGUGGGGAAUAUUGGACAAUGGGGGCAACCCUGAUCCAGCCAUGCCGCGUGGGUGAAGAAGGCCUUAGGGUUGUAAAACCCUUUCAGCGGGGAAGAUGAUGACGGUACCCGCAGAAGAAGCCCCGGCUAACUCCGUGCCAGCAGCCGCGGUAAUACGGAGGGGGCUAGCGUUGUUCGGAAUUACUGGGCGUAAAGGGCGUGUAGGCGGUUUGCCAAGUCAGAGGUGAAAGCCCCGGGCUUAACCUGGGAACUGCAUUUGAGACUGGCAGGCUAGAGGGUGGAAGAGGAGAGUGGAAUUCCCAGUGUAGAGGUGAAAUUCGUAGAUAUUGGGAAGAACACCAGUGGCGAAGGCGGCUCUCUGGUCCACACCUGACGCUGAGGCGCGAAAGCGUGGGGAGCAAACAGGAUUAGAUACCCCGGUAGUC